This is a small nucleolar RNA of Nomascus leucogenys (northern white-cheeked gibbon), 128 nucleotides long. The record is from Ensembl. Lineage: Eukaryota; Metazoa; Chordata; Mammalia; Primates; Hylobatidae.
GCCACUGCGCCCGACCACAGCUGUGUUCUUAUACUGACUGUGUAGAAAGAGAAGGAAAUAAACCUACCCCAUAUGCAUUUCAUCUCCAGGCCCUGCACCUCGUCUAUAUUGUGAAUAGGGAAAUAUGG